AUGUGGAAUUGUCUUUAUUACAGAUCUUGUUUGUAGUAGCAAAUACAAAAGAGAGAACCUUUUGGAUUGAAGUAAAGAAAUGGUUUCGUUUGAACAUCAAUUGAAAACGAGUAAGUCGAUCCUAAAUCAGAACUUAAAUAGUUUAUUAAAAGCAAAGAUUAUUGAAAUACACGAUCUUUGAACUGAUGAAAGGGAAUUAGAUUAAUAUUUCUAAACCUGGGUAAAGAAAAUUUCAAUUUUAAAUUGAGAUUUUGGAGAUAUUUUUUAUGGCAACAUUAAAUUCAUCUGCUUUGAUACAACACUUGAGAUAUUAAAAAGAGUUAUCUUUUCUUUUUAAAAGGGUAUUUUAAAUUAAUGCGGUUGGCAAUUGUGAAUUGAAUAUGCUUUUAUGCUGUUUGAUUUGUUUUUGUCGCUAAAACCUAUCGCAUUUGAAACGUGUGCGAGUCUGAAUUCAUUUCGAGAUACAUCGUUCUCUCACCCUUGAAAGAGUGGAACAAUCUAAUUUGUUUUCCAUUUAAUUUAUCUCAAUUGUUCCUUGAAACUCAAAGCGAAAGAAUUAUUUUUCCCCCAGAUCGUACAACAAUCCGCAACAGGUUCUUAAGUUUAAAAGACUCUAAUUUUUAGAAUAAAGUGGGUAAGGAAAAUCGGCAAAAUAGAUCCGUAACUUUGGGAAAAGGAUUGGCUCUAAAGACAAGAAACGCGGAUGAUGGGUGUGAGCUUGAAGAAUUUAUUUUCUUUUUGAACGCAAACUACAUUCCAGGCGUGUCGAGGUUUCGACUUUGGCACGCCUUAAAAUUGUCAAUUUAGAACUGUUUCGGUCUCGGAGAACCCGACUGUUUAAUUAAAACAAAGCAAAGUGAUGGUCGCAAAUAUUGAUGUUGACACUUUGUGAUUUCUGCCCAGUGCUUUGAAUGUCAAUUUGAAGAAAUUCACCCAAGCGCAGGUCAACGGCGGGAGUAACUAUGACUCUCUUAAGGUAGCCAAAUGCCUCGUCAUUUAAUUGGUGACGCGCAUGAAUGGAUUAACGAGGUUCUCACUGUCCCUACUUACUAUCUAGCGAAGCAGCAGCAAAGGGAACGGACUUUGCAAAGACAGCGGGGAAAGAAGACCCUAUCGAGCUUGACUCUAGGUGUGAUAUUGUGAAAUGAUUUAAAAGGUGUAGAAUAAGGGGGAGAGGCUUGCUUCGAACUUGAAAUACCCCUACUUUUAACAUUGUUUUACUUAAAUAAUGAAUAAAGAAAAAGAUGUGCGUUUGUAUGUUUACAUGCGGCGUCGUCUUUCUUUAAGCAAACACGGCGAGAGUGAUGGUGGCGCAGGUGUGUGAGUGGCAAAGGUGUUGUAAACGAAUUGCAGUUGUUUUUAAUUAAACCUGUAUUCUUUGCGGCAUUCACUUGUACACUCUACGUUGCCACUCGCCAACUUUUGUUAUUGACAUUAUCAGCUGGGGAGUUUGGCUGGGGCGGCACAUCCGUUAAACAAUAACGCGGGUGUUCUAAGACAAGCUCAGAUAGAACAGAAAUCUAUCGUAGACGAUAAAACGAAAAGCUUGUUUGAUUUUGAUUUUCAGUACUAAUACAAACCGUGAAAGCGUGAUUUUGCGAUCCUUUAUAUUUUCGCUAUAAAUGAAUAAAUGUUUCUAU
This 1640-nucleotide ribosomal RNA is filed under the name seawater metagenome. RNAcentral's name for it is "eukaryotic LSU rRNA". It matches the Rfam family "Eukaryotic large subunit ribosomal RNA", at positions 1425 to 2810 of the family's 3401-position model. The record is from RNAcentral.